CCUACGGGUGGCAGCAGUGAGGAAUAUUGGUCAAUGGACGAGAGUCUGGACCAGCCAAGUAGCGUGAAGGAUGACUGCCCUAUGGGUUGUAAACUUCUUUUAUAAAGGAAUAAAACGAGGCACGUGUGCCUUUAUGCAUGUACUUUAUGAAUAAGGAUCGGCUAACUCCGUGCCAGCAGCAGCGGUAAUACGGAGGAUCCGAGCGUUAUCCGGAUUUAUUGGGUUUAAAGGGAGCGUAGAUGGGUUGUUAAGUCAGUUGUGAAAGUUUGCGGCUCAACCGUAAAAUUGCAAUUGAUACUGGCAGUCUUGAGUACAGUUGAGGUAGGCGGAAUUCGUGGUGUAGCGGUGAAAUGCUUAGAUAUCACGAAGAACCCCGAUUGCGAAGGCAGGUUACUAAACUGUGACUGACAUUGAUGCUCGAAAGUGUGGGUAUCAAACAGGAUUAGAUACCCCUGUAGUC
RNAcentral lists this ribosomal RNA (460 nucleotides) under uncultured bacterium. RNAcentral's name for it is "partial 16S ribosomal RNA". It matches the Rfam family "Bacterial small subunit ribosomal RNA", at positions 338 to 795 of the family's 1533-position model. The record is from RNAcentral.